This is a long non-coding RNA of Stegostoma tigrinum, 3678 nucleotides long. RefSeq lists it as uncharacterized. The record is from RefSeq and is a predicted model, not a curated record. The transcript is spliced from 4 exons. NCBI's taxonomy places the organism in Eukaryota, Metazoa, Chordata, Chondrichthyes, Orectolobiformes, Stegostomatidae.
UGAACUAUAAAACAAUACAAUGGAAAAUUUCCUGGUAAAUUGUGUACAACACAUUGCAAACAGAAGGAACCUUGGCGCAGGAAGGGAGCGAAGGAAUGAUUGGUAUACGAAGGACCUGUCAUCACCAGCCCUCCAGCAUUGGCAGUCGUUAUUGAGGAACACUGCUAGUUAAAAAGCUAUGGGUAUUUCUACUGCCCUUUCAAUUGGGCAUGAGUCAAGAUCAUAUAUCAAGACAUGCAGGAGACCUGUUGAAUCAGGCAGGAUCGCUUUCACAAAGAGGCUUUGCAGUUCUUUUUUCUGGUAAAGUUAGUGAAAAUUUACCUUGAUCAGAAUCAAUUAUGAAGAAUGGGAAGUGUACAACAAAAACGUAAAAAGAACUGUAUUUGUGAAAUACAUUUCAUGAGCUCAGGAUGCUCCGAAGCACGAAGUAGAUUUUGAAUAUAGCCAUUAUUUAAAGGAAAAGUCACUGACAAUUUUCACUCAAUCAGCAAUGUGAUCACAAACAGAUCACCACCCUGAAAUGUUCUCCUGUUAGGACAAGAGAUAUCAGCAGAGAGGAAUCUGUGGCCUUUCAGGAUGUAAAAGCAUCUGGGAUCAUCUGAAUCAGCAAGUACCAAAUUGGUGGUCAGCAGGCUUUGGAUCAGCAUUAGUCCAGGUACAAAGAACUCUUGGCCAACAAGAUCCGCUGCCCCUAACUCAUAGCAUUACCUCGGACAUCGUGGCUGCGGCUGGCAUGGACGACCGACCACAGGAAUGCAGAAAUACACCUUUCACAGCCAUCAAGACCUGGAGUGAGACUUGAACCCAAAGCUACUGCCCACUGCGCCAUGAGGCCUCCAUGUACAGGACCACAGUAGCAGAAAGGAAUGCCCACCAGUGCUAUUGAAAGGGAUGAUUCAGAUGCUGCCAGACCUGCUGAGCUUCCAGUAACUUCUCAUAAUGUCUCAUCCACUCAAACUCACAUUACAUCCUCUUUGUAGCUACUUGCAGAGAAAAAGAAAAAAAAGUGGAUGAAAAGGACUCUCAUAGAUUGUGAAAACUUAAUGUAAACUAAACAUGACCAUGGCAGGGAUGGCAUUCAACGUGCAUAAAGAAAAUGCAGCAAGCUGACAGGUUGCUGUUUUCCUGCAAAGUGUUUCAAACUGCCUGUUGUCGGUGUUGCCAUGAUGCUGGUAGUGAAACCCACCACUGGGGGAUUUCACAUCCUUGCCAAAAUCAGUCAAGAUAUGGUAGAAGUACAAUUCCCAAUGAUUCGUCAGGAAUCGAGUGUAAAACCCAGCUCUUGACGUAAAAGCGAAGGCCAUAUGUUAUCAUGUUCCAAUUGUGCUCUGAAGGCGAUGUUAUUGUCAGUCUAACCCACCUUAAUGUCUGGCACAUCAUUAGAGCUGCUGCUUUGUGCCCUCUGUCCCUCAUGCUCCCCUUUCGUUUGACAAUGAUCGAGCUGGAAUGAUGUGCUCUUUACCCUUCACUUAUGUGGCUCGGUGAACAACCGGCAGAAUGCCCAAUGGAAAUGUAGGUUGGAGCUUGGGUUAACCGCCUUCGGCAAUGGCAAAUACCGCUUACUAAGAACAAACAAGUCAGUUUUAGGAUUCAGUCAAUAAAAAGCCCAGACAACUAUUAAAAGAGCAUUCUCGACAGAGGAAGGAGGUAAGGGAUCAUCCAGUGUGUGACCCCCCAUAAUACUUCACACUGACCCCUCCUUCAAUGUGGCCCUUCUUACUGUGGAAGGACACUCUCGCCUACUGAGCUAGGAAAUCAAUGUUCUGACCUACCCAGUGUAUUUCUAAUGGCGCAGUUAGUUAUGCAGGGUUAAACAAUUUUCAGUUCAGUCAAAUGCCCUUGAGGCAAAUCCCAGUGCAUGGCUUGUUUAGUCAUUGAACAGCUCUCACAUUUCAGUGACGGGUCAAAAAUUAUCCCCAAGUCCUUUUCCUCUUCUAAUUUUGCAAAUAGACUUUCAUUCAUUGCGGAAACAUAGCCUGCUUCCUGUUCCAGUCUGCAUUAGCAUACAUUUCUCACAUUGAAACCAAUUUCCAUUCCAUCAGUCAUCUCCUUAAAUCAUCCACAUCUUUUAGGGGACUAUUUAUUUCCUUUGACGCAGAUCAAUUCAGCAAAACAAUUGUUGUGUCAGCAACAGAUUUAGUGUGCACUAUAUACAAACAUCACAGCCUUCUAUCUUAUGGAGAACCUCAACCAUUCCCAAUAAACUAUUCCAAUUGUUUCAAGCACCAGUUUGUCCUGAUUAAUGUCUCAGAUCAGUAGAUUUAAACCGCACAGCCAAUCUGCAUAGUUAGAGGAACCGAUAGUCUACCGAAACUCUCUCUGAUGCUUCAAGAGUAUGAGGUCCAGGACAUAAAAUGAAAUACAUUAAUAAAUGCAGAGCUCAUUGAAACAACAAAACCAAAGGCAAAAACCUCCUAAUGUCAUUUAGUGGCCUUUGUUUUGCACACAUCAGCAGCCUCAUUCGCUAUUAAUAAGAAAACCUCAUAAAAAUUUGUACUCUGAAUAUAUAUAAUAUAUAUUUAAAUAUGUAUAUGUUACACACAUAUAUAAUAUUUACAUAUGUACUAGUGUGUGAGAAGUCCACUACUGUACAGAAUAUAACAAUUUUAACUAAGGGAUGUCCAUGUGCAUUGAAAACCUAAACAGUUAUUCUACAAAAUGAGGAGGAGAAAGUUGCCAGCAGCAAUGAAUUUUCCUCAACUGGUAGCUCCUGGACAGGUUUGAGCAAACUCGUUGUUCUCCAGAAGAAUCAGGAAAGAAGUGAUGGAAAUUUUGGAAUGGGCUUCUUUUAAGCCUAACAGCCAAAUGGGGAAGAGAUCAUGGCAUCUGAAGAAUUCAGCUGAAAUAACAAGCUAUCUCCAGGGUGUAACGUCCAGAUUGUAAUGCCAAGUCAAUUUUAUUCUAGAGAGCUCUAUCGCAGUCAGAUUUUGAAAGCGUCAUGAAUAGCACUUUAUCCAAUUCCGUCUGAAAUUCAUCUUCAGCUGUGUCCUCUGAACGAGCCUAUUAUAUCAGUCAAGUUCUUGGUUGGAAUGAAACCUCAACAAUAUCUUUAAUUUCUGGGCAUAUGGCUCAUGAUGUUGAAACGUGGUCAAAGGGACAGCUCCAGAGCAUCAAGACCACUUACUGUUUAACCUGAAAGAGCCUUUGUAAAGAAACGAGAUUGUUUUGACGCGUGUUAAUAGGCUGCUUUAAUGGUGAGCGCCACCACCAGGUGAGGUAAUGAGAGUGCAGGGAGAGGAUUGCAGUGUUGCAGCCUGAUAUCCCCACCCAGCAACAAAUAAAUCCAGGGCAACCUGUGAAUUUUAGCGUUCAGGAUAAUUACUGUGGUAUCAACAAAUAUGGACCUCUUUCAAAGUGAAUUCAUCUCCACUGCUGCCGUGAGGCCACAUAUCAACGGGAUGUCAGUCCCUGAGGAAAACCCCAGGGAAACUCAGACCAAAGUCAAUUCCAAAGACCGCCAACAAUUUCUUAAUUCUAGGUUAGCAUUGGAAUCUGGCUAUUCUCAAAAUUACAAUUUUUCAUUCACUUCUGUAUCUCCCGGCAAUAUUUCACAGGCUGUGAAAUCUGCCAAAGACCUCAUGAGGUCAGCGGGUGUGUCAAUUUGGAGCCACAUUAAAGUGGUACCUACAUUUUCCCCCAAUGCCUUCACUGAUUGCCACCUCUCAUGGUAUUCCACAU